CCAUAGCGACUAUCGUGGCAUAUCAAUAAGCGGAGGAAAAGAAACUAACAAGGAUUCCCCUAGUAACGGCGAGUGAAGCGGGAAGAGCUCAAAUUUGAAAUCUUCAAGGGUUUCCCUUGACGAAUUGUAGUUUAAAGAAGUGUUUUCUGUUAGAGAGGUGGUAAAAGUUCUUUGGAAUAGGACAUCAUAGAGGGUGAGAAUCCCGUAUUUGAUCACUUUCUACUAACGUUGUGAUACACUUUCAAAGAGUCGGAUUGUUUGGGAAUGCAGUCCAAAAUGGGUGGUAAAUUUCAUCUAAAGCUAAAUAUUGGCGAGAGACCGAUAGCGAACAAGUACCGUGAGGGAAAGAUGAAAAGAACUUUGAAAAGAGAGUUAAACAGUACGUGAAAUUGUCAAAAGGGAAGCGUUUGACACCAGUGUUGUUUUCUCGAAAAUCAAUUAAAAAUGGCCGGAUUUUGUGUUGUAUUGACUUUAUCAGCUUUCUGCACUUUUUUCUUGUCUUUUUUAAUGCACUUUUCGUUUAACAAGUCAACAUCAAUUUCUUUUGUUGUAAAAGAGUCAUUGGAAGGUGGCUUUCAUUUCGGUGAAAGUGUUUAUAGCCUUUGACUCCUGCAAUCGGAGAGAUUGAGGUCUGCAGCGUAGAUCCUUCGGGGUUAGAUACAUUUGUGCUAAGUUAUAGUUUUUCAUAGACAACAUGUUGACUAUGAUUAAUCAUGUAGCUUACUCGCUUAUGCUAUUUUACCUACGCUUAGGAUGUUGAAGAUAUGCGCGACACG
This 776-nucleotide ribosomal RNA is filed under the name uncultured Neocallimastigales. RNAcentral's name for it is "partial large subunit ribosomal RNA". It matches the Rfam family "Eukaryotic large subunit ribosomal RNA", at positions 22 to 644 of the family's 3401-position model. Lineage: Eukaryota; Fungi; Neocallimastigomycota; Neocallimastigomycetes; Neocallimastigales. The record is from RNAcentral.